UGCCAAUGAUGAAAGAAUUGGUGUUUUGUAAUUUAUGAUAAAUUGUGAUUACAAUACCACUACUGCCUUCCUUCUGAGGCU
Small nucleolar RNA from Mangifera indica (mango), 81 nucleotides. RefSeq annotates it as small nucleolar RNA U83. The record is from RefSeq and is a predicted model, not a curated record. The transcript has a single exon. NCBI's taxonomy places the organism in Eukaryota, Viridiplantae, Streptophyta, Magnoliopsida, Sapindales, Anacardiaceae.